AGUGAACGCUGGCGGUAGGCCUAACACAUGCAAGUCGAACGGCAGCACAGUAAGAGCUUGCUCUUACGGGUGGCGAGUGGCGGACGGGUGAGGAAUACAUCGGAAUCUACUUUUUCGUGGGGGAUAACGUAGGGAAAGUUACGCUAAUACCGCAUACGACCUACGGGUGAAAGCGGGGGAAAUUCGGACCUUGCGCGAUUGAAUGAGCGGAUGUCGGAUUAGCUAGUUGGCGGGGUAAAGGCCCACCAAGGCGACGAUACGUAGCUGGUCUGGGAGGCUGAUCGGCCACACUAGAACUUAGACACGGUCCAGACUCCUACGGUAGGCAGCAGUCGCGAAUAUUGGACAAUGGUCGCAAGCCUGAUCCAGCCAUACCGCGUGGGUGAAGAAGGCCUUCGGUUUGUAAAGCCCUUUUGUUGGUAAAGAAAAGCAUCAGCUUAAUACCCCGCUGUUCUGACGGUACCCAAUGAAUAAGCACCGGCUAACUUCGUG
RNAcentral lists this ribosomal RNA (492 nucleotides) under uncultured bacterium. RNAcentral describes it as "partial 16S ribosomal RNA". It matches the Rfam family "Bacterial small subunit ribosomal RNA", at positions 29 to 507 of the family's 1533-position model. The record is from RNAcentral.